UCUUUUUCCCGUCUCUAGUCCAUAUUCCUUAUUCACUAGGAUCCUUACAAAUCACAGCUAAAGAGAGUAAAUUUCGAUAUACAUGCAUCUGAGUUUGUUGACCCAAUCAUUUCUUCACGCAUGCAUAGCCAAAUGGGCCAAUUCCCGGCUCAACCUUGUCUUGGCCGUUCAUAAAGGGACAAAUACAAGAAUCCUGUUUUGCAGCCCCAGGGAACAGUGCCUCUCAAUCUAGGACUUCUCAUUGUUCUACUUACCUUAUUUGUUCCGUUUUUUCUUUCUUCUCCUGCAUCAUAAAUUCAUAAUAUCAAAUUUCAUAAGACAGACAUAUUUCAGGGUGGUUAUUGUGGAUCAAUUAUUCUGCUAUAUUUAUGUGGUUCUACUUCCAUGAUGAUGAAUUUUUAAAUCAUAAGCUUUUGUUAUCCUCAUUUUCUAGCAUUCCAUUAGUCUAGUUUUAGGCAGAUUUGAAGUUUUUCCUUGCAUAAGGCCAAUCAGAGUUGAAACAAUGCUUUUUUAGUUUCUGAUGUUUAAUUGUUUCUCUGCGCCUUACAGCUUGCUGGUUCGAUUAGACAUAAAAUGAUCCCCAGAGCUACUGUAUUGCUGGUUUAUUAUGAAAGCAGAUUUGGUCACUGGUGGCUGUGCCAGAACUUACGCCCCACACGAAUGCAGGUCAUAUUAAUAUAUCAAUUCUAAUGUUAUAUCCCUUGUUCCUUGAUGUAAUCACUUUCUUCAUUGUAAAACAGAAUUUAUGGGAGAAAAAAAUCAACUUUGCAAUUUGUAGAUAGUAGAAAUGGGUCUCUGGGCCUUGUUUAUUUGAAGCUGAUGUCCGACCCUUGUUAUACUUUUUCUUCAGUAAAAAAAUUCCAGUUUUAGGGUGGAUUUCUUUCAUGAAGGUUGCAAAUAAUGUGCUAGACUUGUUUUACUUAUCUCCCUAGUGAUAAUUGGUUUGAAUCUUAAACACACUCAACAAAAUUCCAAAUCAUAUUUGCUUAAUAUGGAUGUGAUUUUUACUCUUUGAAGGUGUCUGCCAAAGGUACCAAGAACUUGAUUUCAUAAAAUAUCAGUACUUUGAAGCUAAAAACAUCCAGACUUUAAAGUGAUAGUUUUUUUUUCCCGAAAUCACGAGAUAACAAGACAAAAUGGAAGCAAAAGCAGAUAACAUUACAUCUGAGGAAAUAAUAAUAUCGUCGUUGUUGCAGUCUUGUCCAUUUGCAUGAAGCUAGUUCUAUUCAAAACCCAGAUCAAAGAACACAAACUUGUUCCAAGCAUAAAACAUUCAACCGUAGUUUACAGUUGGUAAUUGAGGGUGUUGUCCUGGGGGGCAGGUGUGAAAUUCCAUUUUCUGAGAAGAAAACUUUCUUUGCCCAAACAACCUGUAUCAGAAACCUAGUGGCCAUGCCACGGGGUGAAUUUAAAAGCUGGAUUGUGGUAAACCCUGAUAUUCUUCCUCUCCUCUAUCUAUCUCCAGUCUGUCACUUAAAGCAAUGCAGCAUUUAUUCAAGUCUUCUUAUUGUGUCAUUUCCCCCCAAUCAAUGGUGAUAGUGGAAAAAACAAGAAGGUUCCUGGAAAUGGUUGGAGAAUCAAAAUGCAAAUUUCCAUUACCAGUAAAACGAAUAAUCUCUAUACUUGGAUUGAAAAGAAUAGAGAGAAAAUGAAGAUAAAAGAGCUGGGGCCAUUGGGGCUCAACAAAAGUCACCACAAUUACCUUGUUAAAAGGUACCUAUCAUGAACCUGGAUCUAAAUUACAGUCAUAAUAAUAAUUCCAAAAUGGGAUAAGGUGAAAAAGUUAAAUAAAAAAAGAGGGAGGAAAAAAAUGGAGGAGGCAGAGCCAGGGAAGAGGCAGUGCAUGGGCGGAGAAACAACAGAAUCAGUUGGUAGAUCCAUCCAUGCUCAGCCUGUUCCCUGUCUUUGUCUGUCUCUCCCAUCUUUCUCACUCUCUCUCAAUAUUGACUGUUACCUCAUCUUGUUUUGCCUCUGUUGGAAUGCCCCCAAAGAAACCUGCCACACUGAUGUCUAUGGCUCUAUGCUCUCAUCUGAGCUAUUUAAGCUAAACCCCCCAAUAACGUUUACAGUACAACUUGUACUAAACGGACCCUGUACUACAG
This 2102-nucleotide long non-coding RNA is filed under the name Gossypium barbadense (sea-island cotton). Its description in RNAcentral is "long non-coding RNA (GBAR_LNC009986)". The record is from RNAcentral. Lineage: Eukaryota; Viridiplantae; Streptophyta; Magnoliopsida; Malvales; Malvaceae.